Molecule: ribosomal RNA, 913 nt
Filed under: uncultured bacterium
Lineage: Bacteria
Description: bacterial SSU rRNA
Rfam family: Bacterial small subunit ribosomal RNA
Source: RNAcentral
ACGCUGGCGGCGUGCCUAAUACAUGCAAGUAGAACGCUGAAGAGAGGAGCUUGCUCUUCUUGGAUGAGUUGCGAACGGGUGAGUAACGCGUAGGUAACCUGCCUUGUAGCGGGGGAUAACUAUUGGAAACGAUAGCUAAUACCGCAUAACAAUGGGUGACUCAUGUCAUUUAUUUGAAAGGGGCAAAUGCUCCACUACAAGAUGGACCUGCGUUGUAUUAGCUAGUAGGUGAGGUAACGGCUCACCUAGGCGACGAUACAUAGCCGACCUGAGAGGGUGAUCGGCCACACUGGGACUGAGACACGGCCCAGACUCCUACGGGAGGCAGCAGUAGGGAAUCUUCGGCAAUGGGGGCAACCCUGACCGAGCAACGCCGCGUGAGUGAAGAAGGUUUUCGGAUCGUAAAGCUCUGUUGUAAGUCAAGAACGAGUGUGAGAGUGGAAAGUUCACACUGUGACGGUAGCUUACCAGAAAGGGACGGCUAACUACGUGCCAGCAGCCGCGGUAAUACGUAGGUCCCGAGCGUUGUCCGGAUUUAUUGGGCGUAAAGCGAGCGCAGGCGGUUUGAUAAGUCUGAAGUUAAAGGCUGUGGCUCAACCAUAGUUCGCUUUGGAAACUGUCAAACUUGAGUGCAGAAGGGGAGAGUGGAAUUCCAUGUGUAGCGGUGAAAUGCGUAGAUAUAUGGAGGAACACCGGUGGCGAAAGCGGCUCUCUGGUCUGUAACUGACGCUGAGGCUCGAAAGCGUGGGGAGCGAACAGGAUUAGAUACCCUGGUAGUCCACGCCGUAAACGAUGAGUGCUAGGUGUUGGAUCCUUUCCGGGAUUCAGUGCCGCAGCUAACGCAUUAAGCACUCCGCCUGGGGAGUACGACCGCAAGGUUGAAACUCAAAGGAAUUGACGGGGGCCCGCACAA